AGUGAACGCUGGCGGUAGGCCUAACACAUGCAAGUCGAACGGCAGCACAGUAAGAGCUUGCUCUUACGGGUGGCGAGUGGCGGACGGGUGAGGAAUGCAUCGGAAUCUACUUUUUCGUGGGGGAUAACGUAGGGAAACUUACGCUAAUACCGCAUACGACCUACGGGUGAAAGCAGGGGAUCUUCGGACCUUGCGCGAUUGAAUGAGCCGACGUCGGAUUAGCUAGUUGGCGGGGUAAAGGCCCACCAAGGCGACGAUCCGUAGCUGGUCUGAGAGGAUGAUCAGCCACACUGGAACUGAGACACGGUCCAGACUCCUACGGGAGGCAGCAGUGGGGAAUAUUGGACAAUGGGCGCAAGCCUGAUCCAGCCAUACCGCGUGGGUGAAGAAGGCCUUCGGGUUGUAAAGCCCUUUUGUUGGGAAAGAAAAGCAGCAGGUUAAUACCCCGCUGUUCUGACGGUACCCAAAGAAUAAGCACCGGCUAACUUCGUG
Molecule: ribosomal RNA, 492 nt
Filed under: uncultured bacterium
Lineage: Bacteria
Description: partial 16S ribosomal RNA
Rfam family: Bacterial small subunit ribosomal RNA
Source: RNAcentral